GACUUUUUAACUAUAUUAAGUUAUAUUUGAAAAUAUAAAAAAGAGAAAUAUCUCUAUUAGUCU
This 63-nucleotide transfer RNA is filed under the name Haemaphysalis concinna. RNAcentral describes it as "tRNA-Ser". The record is from RNAcentral. Lineage: Eukaryota; Metazoa; Arthropoda; Arachnida; Ixodida; Ixodidae.